GCCUGGCUGGCUCCAUCAGUAGAGUGUGUGGCUCUUGAUCUCAGAGUCAUGAGUUCGAGCCCCAUGUUGGGCA
Canis lupus familiaris (dog) is the source of this 73-nucleotide non-coding RNA. The record is from Rfam. Lineage: Eukaryota; Metazoa; Chordata; Mammalia; Carnivora; Canidae.